This 520-nucleotide ribosomal RNA is filed under the name uncultured Glomus. RNAcentral describes it as "SSU rRNA". It matches the Rfam family "Eukaryotic small subunit ribosomal RNA", at positions 569 to 1091 of the family's 1831-position model. The record is from RNAcentral. Lineage: Eukaryota; Fungi; Glomeromycota; Glomeromycetes; Glomerales; Glomeraceae.
AGCAGCCGCGGUAAUUCCAGCUCCAAUAGCGUAUAUUAAAGUUGUUGCAGUUAAAAAGCUCGUAGUUGAAUUUCGGGAUCAAUUUGCUGGUCGUGCCUUCGGUACGCACUGGUAUUAUUGGUUUCUCCUUUCUGAUGAAUCGCGAUGUCAUUAAUUUGGUGUCGUGGGGAAUCAGGACCGUUACUUUGAAAAAAUUAGAGUGUUUAAAGCAGGCUCACGCUUGAAUACAUUAGCAUGGAAUAAUGAAAUAGGACGUUUGAUUCUAUUUUGUUGGUUUCUAGGAUCGACGUAAUGAUUAAUAGGGAUAGUUGGGGGCAUUAGUAUUCAAUUGUCAGAGGUGAAAUUCUUGGAUUUAUUGAAGACUAACUACUGCGAAAGCAUUUGCCAAGGAUGUUUUCAUUAAUCAAGAACGAAAGUUAGGGGAUCGAAGACGAUCAGGUACCGUCGUAGUCUUAACCAUAAACUAUGCCGACUAGGGAUCGGAUGAUGUUAAUUUUUAAUGACUCAUUCGGCGCCUUAA